UGAAGUGAUGUGGUAAGAGAAUAGGAAAGAGAGUGGAGAAAAAGAGAAAACAAGAAAAGAAGGAACGUGGAGAGGAGAAGAAACGUGGAGAGAGAAAGAGAAGAAAGGAAAGAGAAAAAGAAAAGAGAGAAAAGAAAAGGAAAUAAGAGAAAAAGUGAAAGAGAAAGAAAAAUAAUGUCAAGUGGCAUUCCACGAUUAGUUAAAAGAUUUAUAAAAAAAAAUUAAUUUAAAAAAUAAAAAUAAAUAAGUCUAGUUGAUUGAUUAAUAAAAAACUAAACUUUUUUAACUUUAUUAAUAAAAUUAAAAAUACAUAAACAUGAGUAAAAAU
RNAcentral lists this long non-coding RNA (328 nucleotides) under Lathyrus oleraceus (garden pea). RNAcentral's name for it is "Pisum sativum (pea) long non-coding RNA (PSAT_LNC017523)". Lineage: Eukaryota; Viridiplantae; Streptophyta; Magnoliopsida; Fabales; Fabaceae. The record is from RNAcentral.